RNAcentral lists this ribosomal RNA (252 nucleotides) under Hyalomma anatolicum. RNAcentral describes it as "partial large subunit ribosomal RNA". Lineage: Eukaryota; Metazoa; Arthropoda; Arachnida; Ixodida; Ixodidae. The record is from RNAcentral.
AAUGCUAAAAGAAUGGAAAUUUAAAAAAAAACUUUUUUAAAAAUAAAAAUUGAAUUUUUUUUAAUUUGUGCAAAAACAAUUAUUAUUAUUAAAGACAAGAAGACCCUAAGAAUUUAUGAUUUUGUAAUUAAAAAAAUUUUUUUUUUUAAAAAAUCUUGAUUGGGGCGAUCAAAAAAUAUUAAUAACUUUUUAAAUUUAAAUUGAUCUAUUAUUAAUAAACUAAUGAAUUAAAUACUCUAGGGAUAACAGCGU